Molecule: unclassified non-coding RNA, 400 nt
Filed under: soil metagenome
Description: partial contains 5.8S ribosomal RNA, internal transcribed spacer 2, and large subunit ribosomal RNA
Rfam family: 5.8S ribosomal RNA (bases 1-122)
Source: RNAcentral
GAUGAAGAACGUAGCGAAAUGCGAUACUUGGUGUGAAUUGCAGAAUCCCGUGAACCAUCGAGUCUUUGAACGCAAGUUGCGCCUCAAGCCAUUAGGUUGAGGGCACGUCUGCCUGGGCGUCACAUAUCGUUGCCUGAUGCCAGUUUGCCCGUGAUGGGUGACUGUGCAGGGCGAAUGAUGGCUUCCCGUGAGCAUUGUUGCCUCAUGGUUGGUUGAAAAUUGAGUCCUUGGUAGGGAGCGCCGUGAUAGAUGGUGGUUGAGUGACGAACGAGACCCAAUCAUGUGAGACCCCUACCGAAUUUGGCCUUCAUGACCCACAUGCGUCUUUGGAACGCUCAUGACGAGACCUCAGGUCAGGCGGGGCUACCCGCUGAGUUUAAGCAUAUCAAUAAGCGGAGGA